Small nuclear RNA from Rhinolophus ferrumequinum (greater horseshoe bat), 109 nucleotides. The record is from Ensembl. Lineage: Eukaryota; Metazoa; Chordata; Mammalia; Chiroptera; Rhinolophidae.
GAGCUGAAUCAGAUGUUAGCAGCACAUAUACUAAAAUUGGACCGAUACAGAGAUUAGUACGGCCCCUGCCAAGGAUGAAAUGCAAAUUCGUGAAGUGUUCCAUAUUAAU